This 439-nucleotide ribosomal RNA is filed under the name uncultured bacterium. Its description in RNAcentral is "partial 16S ribosomal RNA". It matches the Rfam family "Bacterial small subunit ribosomal RNA", at positions 339 to 795 of the family's 1533-position model. The record is from RNAcentral.
CUACGGGUGGCUGCAGUGGGGAAUAUUGCACAAUGGAGGAAACUCUGAUGCAGCAACGCCGCGUGGAGGAUGACACUUUUCGGAGCGUAAACUCCUUUUAUAUAGGAAGAAGAUGACGGUACUAUAUGAAUAAGCGCCGGCUAACUCCGUGCCAGCAGCCGCGGUAAUACGGAGGGCGCAAGCGUUACUCGGAAUCACUGGGCGUAAAGAGCGUGUAGGCGGAUUAAAAAGUCAGAAGUGAAAUCCUAUAGCUUAACUAUAGAACUGCUUCUGAAACUCUUAAUCUAGAAUAUGGGAGAGGUAGAUGGAAUUUCUGUUGUAGUGGUAAAAUCCGUAGAGAUCAGAAGGAAUACCGAUUGCGAAGGCGAUCUACUAGAACAUUAUUGACGCUGAGACGCGAAAGCGUGGGGAGCAAACAGGAUUAGAUACCCCUGUAGUC